ACGUAGGGGGCUAGCGUUAUCCGGAAUUACUGGGCGUAAAGGGUGCGUAGGUGGUUUCUUAAGUCAGAGGUGAAAGGCUACGGCUCAACCGUAGUAAGCCUUUGAAACUGGGAAACUUGAGUGCAGGAGAGGAGAGUGGAAUUCCUAGUGGGGCGGUGUAAGGAGUGUAUAUGAGGAGGAACACCAGUUGCGAAGGGAGCUCUCAGGACUAUAACCCACACUGAUGCACGAAAUUGUGUGGUACUUACAG
RNAcentral lists this ribosomal RNA (250 nucleotides) under uncultured prokaryote. Its description in RNAcentral is "partial 16S rRNA". It matches the Rfam family "Bacterial small subunit ribosomal RNA", at positions 525 to 775 of the family's 1533-position model. The record is from RNAcentral.